RNAcentral lists this ribosomal RNA (481 nucleotides) under uncultured bacterium. RNAcentral describes it as "partial 16S ribosomal RNA". It matches the Rfam family "Bacterial small subunit ribosomal RNA", at positions 30 to 507 of the family's 1533-position model. The record is from RNAcentral.
UUGAACGCUGGCGGCAUGCCUUACACAUGCAAGUCGAACGGUAACGGGCCUUCGGGUGCCGACGAGUGGCGAACGGGUGAGUAAUACAUCGGAACGUGCCCGAUCGUGGGGGAUAACGAGGCGAAAGCUUUGCUAAUACCGCAUACGAUCUACGGAUGAAAGCAGGGGACCGCAAGGCCUUGCGCGGACGGAGCGGCCGAUGGCAGAUUAGGUAGUUGGUGGGAUAAAAGCUUACCAAGCCGACGAUCUGCAGCUGGUCUGAGAGGAUGAUCAGCCACACUGGGACUGAGACACGGCCCAGACUCCUACGGGAGGCAGCAGUGGGGAAUUUUGGACAAUGGGCGCAAGCCUGAUCCAGCCAUGCCGCGUGCAGGAUGAAGGCCUUCGGGUUGUAAACUGCUUUUGUACGGAACGAAAAGCCUUCUUUUAAUACAGGAGGGUCAUGACGGUACCGUAAGAAUAAGCACCGGCUAACCACGUG